GCCUGGGUGGCUCAGUCGGUUGAGCGUCCGACUUCAGCUCAGGUCAUGAUCUCACGGUUUGUGGGUUCAAGCCCUGCAUCAGGCU
This 85-nucleotide transfer RNA is filed under the name Felis catus (domestic cat). It matches the Rfam family "tRNA". Rfam says of the family: Transfer RNA (tRNA) molecules are approximately 80 nucleotides in length. Their secondary structure includes four short double-helical elements and three loops (D, anti-codon, and T loops). Further hydrogen bonds mediate the characteristic L-shaped molecular structure. tRNAs have two regions of fundamental functional importance: the anti-codon, which is responsible for specific mRNA codon recognition, and the 3' end, to which the tRNAs corresponding amino acid is attached (by aminoacyl-tRNA synthetases). tRNAs cope with the degeneracy of the genetic code in two manners: having more than one tRNA (with a specific anti-codon) for a particular amino acid; and 'wobble' base-pairing, i.e. permitting non-standard base-pairing at the 3rd anti-codon position. The record is from Rfam by way of RNAcentral. Lineage: Eukaryota; Metazoa; Chordata; Mammalia; Carnivora; Felidae.